CUUCUUUCACCAUUAAAUACAAAAUAAAACUUAUUCCCAAGAGUUUGGUAUGACCUCUGCAGAUAUGUCUUCCACGGAAACAAUGUAUUUACUUAACACAGAGACUCCAUAUGGUCUAUGCUGCUUUGAGUAGCAGCUAGGAUCAAACUCAGGCUAGAAAAAGGAGAAUACUGGUAUAACACACGGGAGACUGGCUUCACAGAAUAAGGCUUCAAAGGUACAAGUAAAACAAGAAUGGCCAUGACAACACUGCAAGUUACUUUUCAGUUAAGAUUCCUUUUACAUUACAGAUUUGCUGCAGUGAUUCCAAGAAGUCAAUAAAUAACGCUUUCAGAAAAGAAGAAAGUACUACAGUACUUCUAGAUUAAAUUUUCAGAAGCACUCUGGCUCAAAUUUCACCUUCACUGAAUAAAUGCCAGCUGAAAAAGAAAAACCAGCUUGAAAUAAAAUUGUGAAGAAAAGAAUAGUCACAAUAGGCAGAAGUGUUGCUUUAGAAUGUUCUGCCUACAUGAAAUCCAGACAUUCACAAAAUUCUUAAUGACUGCAGUUAUGGCAUUACAACCAGCACAUGUGCUUGCUUCCCAUUUCCUUGGAUAAUGCAAUUUU
Molecule: long non-coding RNA, 606 nt
Organism: Pezoporus occidentalis (night parrot)
Lineage: Eukaryota; Metazoa; Chordata; Aves; Psittaciformes; Psittacidae
Exons: 3
Source: RefSeq, a predicted model, not a curated record